This 253-nucleotide ribosomal RNA is filed under the name uncultured microorganism. RNAcentral describes it as "partial 16S ribosomal RNA". It matches the Rfam family "Bacterial small subunit ribosomal RNA", at positions 524 to 776 of the family's 1533-position model. The record is from RNAcentral.
UACGUAGGGUGCGAGCGUUAAUCGGAUUUACUGGGCGUAAAGCGAGCGUAGGUGGCUUGAUAAGUCAGAUGUGAAAUCCCCGGGCUUAACCUGGGAACUGCAUCUGAUACUGUCAGGCUAGAGUAGGUGAGAGGAAGGUAGAAUUCCAGGUGUAGCGGUGAAAUGCGUAGAGAUCUGGAGGAAUACCGAUGGCGAAGGCAGCCUUCUGGCAUCAUACUGACACUGAGGCUCGAAAGCGUGGGUAGCAAACAGG